AACGAACGCUGGCGGCAUGCCUAACACAUGCAAGUCGAACGAGACCUUCGGGUCUAGUGGCGCACGGGUGCGUAACGCGUGGGAACCUGCCCUUAGGUUCGGAAUAACUCCCCGAAAGGGGUGCUAAUACCGGAUAAUGUCUUCGGACCAAAGAUUUAUCGCUUUUGGAUGGGCCCGCGUUGGAUUAGCUGGUUGGUAGGGUAAAAGCCUACCAAGGCGACGAUCCAUAGCUGGUCUGAGAGGAUGAUCAGCCACACUGGGACUGAGACACGGCCCAGACUCCUACGGGAGGCAGCAGUGGGGAAUAUUGGACAAUGGGCGAAAGCCUGAUCCAGCAAUGCCGCGUGAGUGAUGAAGGCCUUAGGGUUGUAAAGCUCUUUUACCCGGGAUGAUAAUGACAGUACCGGGAGAAUAAGCUCCGGCUAACUCCGUG
RNAcentral lists this ribosomal RNA (433 nucleotides) under uncultured bacterium. Its description in RNAcentral is "partial 16S ribosomal RNA". It matches the Rfam family "Bacterial small subunit ribosomal RNA", at positions 29 to 507 of the family's 1533-position model. The record is from RNAcentral.